Tetranychus urticae (two-spotted spider mite) is the source of this 2505-nucleotide long non-coding RNA. RefSeq lists it as uncharacterized. The record is from RefSeq and is a predicted model, not a curated record. NCBI's taxonomy places the organism in Eukaryota, Metazoa, Arthropoda, Arachnida, Trombidiformes, Tetranychidae.
UAUCAAGUUAGCCAGUUUCGUAACACCGAGUUAUUAAACUGUUUAAAAUUUUGAUUGUUUGUAUUGUCUUUAAUUGUGUUUAAUUUUUCCUUUACGCCUGAUUAUUGAUUAGCAACUUACUAGCAAUUCUCUGUUCGUGAUCGUCAAUUUUUAUGGAGAUUUUUGGUUCAAUCGUGUAUAAUAAAAUAUGCCUGGAAAGGACUUAUCCAGUCACUCUCAUCUUUACCUUUUAAUAUUUCAUUUGUUUUUCAACAUCUACACACAAUUUUCAUUAAUUUAUUUACUAAUUCACAACAUAAGCUUUGCUGAUUGAUGAAUUAUCAACGAAAGGGUGAAUUGAAACUCAGGAAUUUGAAAUAUUUGAUUCAACAUAAGAUCUUGAAUUACGAUUACUUAACUUUACUGAAAAUAGCUACUUUUUUUGUAGCCGUUUUCAAUAUUUGUGAAAAUUUUGCCUCAACCGCAAGUGUUUUUAAAAGUUCAUUAUUUUACCCAAAAAUUCAACAAAAGAGAUGAAGAACAAUCAAUUGACAAUCAAUCUAAUAAUGCCUUUAAUGGAUUAAAAAUGAUUGUUCGUAAAGAUGAUGAGUGUGAACAUAAAUAACAGCAAAACUCAACAGCAAAAGGAGUCAAAAAAAGAUUAUGCACAAUCAUCAACGCUUCUGGUUUAACCUAUCCAAAAUAAUCAACGUAAACUUGAGUUUAACUGGUAUUUGAGAGGCAACAAAAUUGGAUUAAAGCAGGAAAAUAAUAGCAAAAAUUGAUCGCAAGUCAACAAGUAAUUUAGGUGAUUUUGGGUCCAAGUUACACUGAAGAUAUCACAAGACAAAAUAUGGAAUCACCUUAUUUUUUGGAGUAAAAUUUUUCCAGGUUAUUGGUCUUGCUUAAAACUCCAGUGAAUUUUAUCCUGUCAAGUUGAAGAUUGUGAGUCCGUCAAAUGAAUUAACACGCUUGUUGAUUCGCCAGCUCAUGCUACUUUCAUCCUCAUCCUAAUCAUCAUGAUUACCAUCUUUCCCUCAUCAACAUCAUCAUCCUGUUCUGUUCUGUGAAACAAUUUGAUUAAACUUGAAGAGGCUCACUUGAUUUAUAUUAUUAGCAUUUUUGGUUGUUACUGUUGCUGUUGUAGUUAUGAUUACAUUUAACAGAUGGAAAGCUUUUUCUUCUCUUUUCUUCACUCACCUCUUUAGCACAAGGAAAGGAUACGUGAAAUCAGAUGUAAAUGUUGAUUGUUACAAGUUACAUCUUAACAAUACAAUCAGAUUGGACUGGAGAAUGUAAUUUCAAGUUGAAUUAAAUGUUUUCAACAACAUUUUAUUUACCUUUAUUGAUGAUUUAUUCGUAGAUGAUUAAGAUUGACUAACAUUGGAUUGACCAUUAAAAGGGAUUGGGAAAACCUUCAUCAUCAUCAAGUCAACCCCAACCAGUUGAACCCAGAGUGAGGAGACCUUAAAGAUUAAUCUGAUUGUCUACAUAAUUAAACCUGUGAAGAUCAACCAUCAAUCAUUCAUCAUCUUCAUUAUACUCAGGCUCAUCAUCAAUAGUAGGCCUACAAAAUUAACAACGGAACAUAACUUAAGAGGCCUUAAUGUAUAUUUUAUACAAAUCGCAAUCAACAUGAAAAUGGUUGUAAAUAUUGUUUGAAAAGCAGAAACUUGGUGGUCUAAAUUGGUGGGCUCGAUGAUAAUCAAUUAAACCCCUCAAAUCUAGUUGAAUGAAAAGUGGGAGGAUUUGAUAAGCAAAUUAUGGACAACAAUUGGACCUGAAACCAAACCUGAAAACCCAAAAUUCAAUGUUUUUUCUCAACUGACCUGAUACAUUACAAUCAACUUGACGGAUCGCUGAAAGUAAACAUAUUAUACUCUUAUUGGAAGUAAAAUUGGAAACUUUUAACCUUAAAUAGGACCAGUAAUUAAGGUUUUAAUUAUUGAAGCUCAUUUGGCUGGAUUUUUCGAUUUAUCCAUUUCAUCCCUUUGUUUCCUCCACUAAAUGGAUGGCAAAGACACGAUCAAUGGACACGAUUUGAAACAUGAUGACCAUUGUUAACAUGAUUAGAUAAUGAUUCCAGGACAAUCGGCUAAUGAUAAUUGUUGGACUCAUCUUUGGACUGUUGAUCAUCAACAAAUGAUGUUACCUUGGCUAACGAUUAUUGUUCAAUCAUUAUUUAUCAUCAUUUACCCUCGGUUGAUGUCCAAUUGUAGUUAUACAUAUUUUGCUUAAUGUAACAUCAUUAGAUGGAAACAAGGAUAAAGUGCAACUUCCUAAUUCCUGGAAUUAAAAUUGUAAUCAUUUAAAUAUUGCUUCACCAACAACGGGACAAUAUUUUUUGUUAUUCAUGACAAUAACACAUUUAAAAGCUAACCUAAUCAACUCAAUCAUUUACAUUUAAAUAACAUUGAUGUUGACAUUUAUUUGCGUGUUUCCUCCUGUUUAACGGUUAGACAUUAAAAUUGUUGAUUUAAAUAUGAAUAAAUAAUAAAGUUAAUCGAGAGGUUAAUUUGUUUAUUA